UACGGAGGAUCCAAGCGUUAUCCGGAUUUAUUGGGUUUAAAGGGUGCGUAGGCGGCCUAUUAAGUCAGGGGUGAAAGAUGGUAGCUUAACUAUCGCAGUGCCCUUGAUACUGAUGGGCUUGAAUAUACUAGAGGUAGGCGGAAUGUGGCAAGUAGCGGUGAAAUGCAUAGAUAUGUCACAGAACACCAAUUGCGAAGGCAGCUUACUAUGGUAUUAUUGACGCUGAGGCACGAAAGCGUGGGGAUCAAACAGG
Molecule: ribosomal RNA, 253 nt
Filed under: uncultured bacterium
Lineage: Bacteria
Description: partial 16S ribosomal RNA
Rfam family: Bacterial small subunit ribosomal RNA
Source: RNAcentral